UUUUUUGUUAUGUUUUAAAUAUACGUUGGUACUUGCGAUUGUUUCAUUUAUGGAUUUAAUUUAAAAUUUAAAAAAUCCACUGGUCACAACAGUUCCUACAGAGAAUGCACACACUGUUUGGGUUUUUACUUUUCUGAGACUGACAGCACUUUUUAUGUGGCUGCAAAGCUUAUUGGACAGGACUUGGAGCUGACAGUUAAGCUGCUACUGCGGAUGAGGGCCAAGCAAUGAUGGUGGCGGCAGAAGGAGAGGAGGACAGUGGUUUGGUUGGUUUGCCAGUUGUAGGAGCGGGCAGCUGAGACUAAACGGCAGUAAUGGCCUAACGAGGAGAGAUCUGUAGAGCCAAACCAGAUGGAACGGCCACAGCCACGUGCCUGACUGGCAAAGCUUGUGGCUUGUUAGCCAAACACAGACACAGACAGAGAUUUACUAAAAGAUGAAGACAAAAAGAUGGGAGGAAUGUUCAAAUGAGACUAAGGGAUGUCUUCUAAGGGAUUUUUUGUUAUAUUACAUUUUAAUGUAUAUUUUCAGUCUUUCCUCUCUAUAUGCUUUCUCACCUCCUCUCUGCAUCCUCUCUCUCAACCCAAAACCUUUUCGCUGAUUGAUAUUCAGCACAUUCGGUGACUAAGCUUUUUCCCCUCUAUGUGCUAAGGGCUUAACUUUAAUGAAAGGGGAGAAGUUGAUUACAUAUGGGGAGCAAAAACUAGGCCUCCAUCUCCAGGGAGGAGUGUAGUAGACGGGAUGCCGCGCUGAGUUUUAGUCAACAAUGAAAGCAGACAGAGAAAAAGGAAAUUGGGGUUGGGGGGGGUGUGCACAUCAGAGUGUCCUUGGAAGUCAAAUUUCCCAGGGUGCUCAAGUGUCAGGAAUCAAGGAUGUGGAAAAAGGGAUAAAAAAUAUCCAUCGUGCUGGCUUUUUAGAGGAUUCAGGAGCAGUGAGCAGUGAAUGGACUGAGGUUGUGCAGGCUGAUGUCAUGCUGGAAGACAAUAUUUCGACAGAUAGGAGAGGAACACAUGCAUGCAUAGCUGAACUUGGGUGCAACACCUUUCAUCCCAUCCUUUGUGAAGGCAAGAUUUAGAGAGAAAGAGGAGAGAGAAGAAAGAAGGACACUGCACCUUUAGCUGACACAGACCACUGAUAAUGUGUCUGAGUCUAGACAGUGAUGAGACCCUGUGUGAACUCUAA
This is a long non-coding RNA of Siniperca chuatsi (mandarin fish), 1182 nucleotides long. RefSeq lists it as uncharacterized. Lineage: Eukaryota; Metazoa; Chordata; Actinopteri; Centrarchiformes; Sinipercidae. The transcript has 3 exons. The record is from RefSeq and is a predicted model, not a curated record.